GAUGAACGCUGGCGGCGUGCCUAAUACAUGCAAGUCGAGCGAACGGACGAGAAGCUUGCUUUUCUGAUGUUAGCGGCGGACGGGUGAGUAACACGUGGAUAACCUACCUAUAAGACUGGGAUAACUUCGGGAAACCGGAGCUAAUACCGGAUAAUAUUUUGAACCGCAUGGUUCAAAAGUGAAAGACGGUCUUGCUGUCACUUAUAGAUGGAUCCGCGCUGCAUUAGCUAGUUGGUAAGGUAACGGCUUACCAAGGCAACGAUGCAUAGCCGACCUGAGAGGGUGAUCGGCCACACUGGAACUGAGACACGGUCCAGACUCCUACGGGAGGCAGCAGUAGGGAAUCUUCCGCAAUGGGCGAAAGCCUGACGGAGCCACGCCGCGUGAGUGAUGAAGGUCUUCGGAUCGUAAAACUCUGUUAUUAGGGAAGAACAUAUGUGUAAGUAACUGUGCACAUCUUGACGGUACCUAAUCAGAAAGCCACGGCUAACUACGUG
RNAcentral lists this ribosomal RNA (497 nucleotides) under uncultured bacterium. Its description in RNAcentral is "partial 16S ribosomal RNA". It matches the Rfam family "Bacterial small subunit ribosomal RNA", at positions 28 to 507 of the family's 1533-position model. The record is from RNAcentral.